ACGCUCGACACCUACGGGAGCAGCAGUGAGGAAUAUUGGUCAAUGGGCGCUAGCCUGAACCAGCCAAGUAGCGUGAAGGAUGAAGGCUCUAUGGGUCGUAAACUUCUUUUAUAUAAGAAUAAAGUGCAGUAUGUAUACUGUUUUGUAUGUAUUAUAUGAAUAAGGAUCGGCUAACUCCGUGCCGGCAGCCGCGGUAAUCUGAGCGGGCUGGCAAGGC
This 217-nucleotide ribosomal RNA is filed under the name uncultured bacterium. RNAcentral's name for it is "partial 16S ribosomal RNA". It matches the Rfam family "Bacterial small subunit ribosomal RNA", at positions 328 to 539 of the family's 1533-position model. The record is from RNAcentral.